Molecule: ribosomal RNA, 515 nt
Filed under: uncultured bacterium
Lineage: Bacteria
Description: partial 16S ribosomal RNA
Rfam family: Bacterial small subunit ribosomal RNA
Source: RNAcentral
GAUGAACGCUGGCGGCGUGCCUAAUACAUGCAAGUCGAGCGAAUGGAUUAAGAGCUUGCUCUUAUGACGUUAGCGGCGGACGGGUGAGUAACACGUGGGUAACCUGCCCAUAAGACUGGGAUAACUCCGGGAAACCGGGGCUAAUACCGGAUAACAUUUUGAACCGCAUGGUUCGAAAUUGAAAGGCGGCUUCGGCUGUCACUUAUGGCUGGACCCGCGUCGCAUUAGCUAGUUGGUGAGGUAACGGCUCACCAAGGCAACGAUGCGGAGCCGACCUGAGAUGGUGAUCGGCCACACUGGGACUGAGACACGGCCCAGACUCCUACGGGAGGCAGCAGUAGGGAAUCUUCCGCAAUGGACGAAAGUCUGACGGAGCAACGCCGCGUGAGUGAUGAAGGCUUUCGGGUCGUAAAACUCUGUUGUUAGGGAAGAACAAGUGCUAGUUGAAUAAGCUGGCACCUUGACGGUACCUAACCAGAAAGCCACGGCUAACUACGUGCCAGCAGCCGCCGUAA